AUGAAGGGAUUGCGUGUGCACCGUGUCAAGAUUUUAGAUGCUCACAUGCAUGCUCUUAGUCUGGAUGCUGUUAUUGACUUGAUGAGAUGCUUUUCAUGCUUGGAAACGCUGUACAUCCAGGAGAGGAGCAUGCCUCGAGAUAAAAGAAAAACAUCAGCAUAUUUUUUGGAGCAAAAAAAAGAAGACUUCAGCAAGCAGACUGGGCCGACCGGGCUACGCCAUGAAUGGGCUUUGAUUCAUUCUGCUACGUCCUCGUUGUGCGAUCCGCCAGGCGCCCACGCGCAUUGCAUUUCCCCCAAAACCGUCGCCGCCGCCCAUCUCCUCUGCUCGUGUCGGCUCCGGCACAGUCCGCCAGCCAUGGGGACGGAGCCAGGCGCUCCUCCUGGUCCUAGCUCCAGGAAGAGGAAAGCGCUGGUGCCCGCGGAUAUAGAAGUGGAGGGCCCGGGAGCGCCCCUUCCCGGAAUGGAUGGGGACGGAGGAGGCGAGGGCGCCGGCGGCGACCGCACCACCGACCUCCCCGGCGCCUUCCUCGGGCACAUCUCAACUGGACCCGGGAAAAGCAACUGCUGGCGCCGUAAACACCGGGAUCUUAUAAGAUCUCUUGACAUCCGUCUCAAGACAAUUGUUUGGCGACAUUAUCGGGGCAUCAAGUCACAUGUUGACUUCGCCACAUUCUUUAUACUAAACGCUGGAGUGCUGGAAUUGAUGACUUUUGAGGUUAAUUCUGAAGACUACAAUGAGGAGUUCUUUGCACAACACCUUAAACAUGCUAUUCAUGAUGUCAGUUUGUUGAAACCGACUUUUGCUGAUGUGCACUUAUUUGGUGAUGACAAAGUACAGAUCUGUGUGUCCUCUGAACAUCAAUGUGAUGUUUGUCUGUUAAAUCUUUUUGUAAAGCCAUGCAACUUGGUCUCUCUCUCAUCAAGUGGGGAUCUAUCACUUCAGCCGAAACAAAAAAUAUGGGUCCUCGUCUUGGAAGCAAGCAAGGAGUUGUUGAACUGCUCUGAUCAAGCUUGGUGUUGGCCGAUGUGCCGUCGAUCUGCUGGCAUUGUUUUUUGGAAGGUAAAUGUAUAUUUCGUCAGCAGCAGAGUGAUGAUACCAGCGGGUAGAGAGGCACACUGGCUGAAGUUGUUGAGAGCUGCCAACGCAGGGCAGCCUCCUGACCUGUUCCUUGUGCUGAUGCUAGUUAUGCUACAGGAAGUGAGGAUAUUAUCGCGGUUUCAAGCAAGAAGCUAA
This 1236-nucleotide ribosomal RNA is filed under the name Triticum aestivum (bread wheat). Its description in RNAcentral is "partial small subunit ribosomal RNA". Lineage: Eukaryota; Viridiplantae; Streptophyta; Magnoliopsida; Poales; Poaceae. The record is from RNAcentral.